Tetranychus urticae (two-spotted spider mite) is the source of this 810-nucleotide non-coding RNA. The record is from RefSeq and is a predicted model, not a curated record. NCBI's taxonomy places the organism in Eukaryota, Metazoa, Arthropoda, Arachnida, Trombidiformes, Tetranychidae.
UAAUUUAAUAAUAUGCUGUGGUAAAAGAUGUCAAAGUAAGUAAUUCAAUUAGAUGUGAUGAUUAUUGGAAGCUGAAAAGCUAAUUAAAUCCUUAAUUCACCGUGAUUUGCUUCCUUGUUUUACUUAGCAUAAUUAGCAGAUUGCCCCUCACAACUUGCUAUUUAACGGUUUUACAACGGUUUUUGUUUAAAGACGACAAUUUGUCCGUUAACUUAUUUCAUGUUUAACAUUUUAGUUUUGGGUUAAUUGAAUUAUUUUUUUGAAUUUACAAAAUCUUUACCAAUCAUUCAGGACUUUGUAUAACGAUUUUAUAGACCUCACUAAAAAUUCAAUGGUGAACCUGCUAUUUUCUUGGUCUGUUUUAUGUUGUGGACGUUUUUUUCUCGAUCAAAGGCUGAGCAAACUUGUCGUCAACAAAUUUUUCAAAUGACUUGGAUGGUAAAUUAAAUUAGACUAAUAUUAUUAACACAGUAAACUAUGAAAAUAAUGGUGAUGAAGUUAAAUAUUUGCAAUGAUCAUCAAGCGUAACGGUAAAGAAAAGGAGAGAAGCAAGGUAACCUAAUGAUGCAUUUCGAGACAAAAGCCAGGUAAAGUUGCAAGAAAUAAACUGGUAAUGAUGAUGAACGCAAAAGGAGAAAAGGCACAAGUGGAAAGUGAAAAUAAACAGAAACCAACAAGGAGGAGGGAAAAGCUGAUGAUGUUGAUGCUGAUAAUGAUGAGGGAAAGGAGGCCAAAAAAAAGUAGAGGGAGAAUCAGAGAAGUGCUUUUAUAUUGAUAGUUUGAUAUCAACCAACCAUAUAAGAAAGGCAA